Molecule: ribosomal RNA, 253 nt
Filed under: uncultured bacterium
Lineage: Bacteria
Description: partial 16S ribosomal RNA
Rfam family: Bacterial small subunit ribosomal RNA
Source: RNAcentral
UACAGAGGUCUCAAGCGUUGUUCGGAUUCAUUGGGCGUAAAGGGUGCGUAGGUGGCGCGCUAAGUCGGGUGUGAAAUCCCGGGGCUUAACCUCGGGACUGCAUUCGAUACUGGCGUGCUUGAGGACUGGAGAGGAGACUGGAAUUUACGGUGUAGCGGUGAAAUGCGUAGAUAUCGUAAGGAAGACCAGUGGCGAAGGCGGGUCUCUGGACAGUUCCUGACGCUGAGGCACGAAGGUCAGGGGAGCAAACGGG